Molecule: ribosomal RNA, 274 nt
Filed under: uncultured bacterium
Lineage: Bacteria
Description: partial 16S ribosomal RNA
Rfam family: Bacterial small subunit ribosomal RNA
Source: RNAcentral
AUACAGAGGGUGCGAGCGUUAAUCGGAAUUACUGGGCGUAAAGCGCGCGUAGGCGGCUAUAUAAGUCAGAUGUGAAAUCCCUGGGCUCAACCUAGGAACUGCAUUUGAAACUGUAUGGCUAGAGUAUGGUAGAGGUGAGUGGAAUUUCAGGUGUAGCGGUGAAAUGCGUAGAGAUCUGAAGGAACAUCAGUGGCGAAGGCGACUCACUGGGCCAUUACUGACGCUGAGGUGCGAAAGCGUGGGUAGCAAACAGGAUUAGAAACCCCAGUAGUCC